Molecule: non-coding RNA, 117 nt
Organism: Danio rerio (zebrafish)
Lineage: Eukaryota; Metazoa; Chordata; Actinopteri; Cypriniformes; Danionidae
Source: Rfam
GGCCAGAGCUAUAUCACCCAUCAGCCCAAGACUGGCUACUCACUGAAGCUAAGCAGGGCUGGGCCUGGUCAGUACCUGGAUGGGAAACCACAUGGGAAAUCUAAGUUGCUGUUGGAA